RNAcentral lists this transfer RNA (81 nucleotides) under Streptococcus thermophilus. Its description in RNAcentral is "tRNA-Tyr". It matches the Rfam family "tRNA". Rfam says of the family: Transfer RNA (tRNA) molecules are approximately 80 nucleotides in length. Lineage: Bacteria; Bacillati; Bacillota; Bacilli; Lactobacillales; Streptococcaceae. The record is from RNAcentral.
GGACAGAUAGCGAAGAGGCUAAACGCGGCGGACUGUAAAUCCGCUCCUUCGGGUUCGGGGGUUCGAAUCCCUCUCUCUCCA